CGAUCAAGUUGGGCAAUUGCUCCCCCGCUUUAGCGGGAGGGAGGAAAGUCCGAACUCCACAGAGCAAAGUGCCGGAUAACGUCCGGGCAUCAUUUUUUUUGAUGACGGCAAGUACCACAGAAAAGAUACCACCCCGAUGUAAAUCGGGGUAAGGGUGAAAUGGCAGGGUAAAAGCCUACCGCUCUAAAAGUAAUUUUAGAGGUUCCGUUAAAGGAAGUGGCGCUUUGGCGCCAUCAGGGCAAACCCCACUUGGAGAAAGGUCAAAUAGGAAAGUUCCACGCCACGGCGUGGCGAGGCUGCUCGCUUUGAUUAGCUUUCGGGUAGACCGAUCGAGGGUUGAAGUAAUUCAACUCCCAGACAAAUAAUUGCCGUGGCGCUUUUGGCGUCAUUACAAAAUUCGGCUUAUAGACUUGAUCGUCUU
This 421-nucleotide RNase P RNA is filed under the name Ignavibacteria bacterium. RNAcentral's name for it is "RNase P RNA component class A". It matches the Rfam family "Bacterial RNase P class A". From Rfam's summary of the family: Ribonuclease P (RNase P) is a ubiquitous endoribonuclease, found in archaea, bacteria and eukarya as well as chloroplasts and mitochondria. Its best characterised activity is the generation of mature 5'-ends of tRNAs by cleaving the 5'-leader elements of precursor-tRNAs. Cellular RNase Ps are ribonucleoproteins. Lineage: Bacteria; Pseudomonadati; Ignavibacteriota; Ignavibacteria. The record is from RNAcentral.